This 391-nucleotide ribosomal RNA is filed under the name Arcocellulus sp. RNAcentral describes it as "partial small subunit ribosomal RNA". It matches the Rfam family "Eukaryotic small subunit ribosomal RNA", at positions 582 to 975 of the family's 1831-position model. Lineage: Eukaryota; Bacillariophyta; Thalassiosirophyceae; Cymatosirales; Cymatosiraceae. The record is from RNAcentral.
AUUCCAGCUCCAAUAGCGUAUAUUAAAGUUGUUGCAGUUAAAAAGCUCGUAGUUGGAUUUCUGGUGGGAGCGAUCGGUCUGGCGCUUAGCGCGAGUACUUGCAUCGUCUCCGGCCAUCCUUGGGGAGAGUUUGUCUGGCAUUAAGUUGUCGGGCAGAGGAUCCUCAUCGUUUACUGUGAAAAAAUUAGAGUGUUUAAAGCAGGCAUUUUGCUGUGAAUACAUUAGCAUGGAAUAAUAACAUAGGACUUUGGUUCUAUUUUGUUGGUUGGAGGCCAAGGUAAUGAUUAAUAGGGAUAGUUGGGGGCGUUUAUAUUCCGUUGUCAGAGGUGAAAUUCUUGGAUUUACGGAAGAUAAACUACUGCGAAAGCAUUCGCCAAGGAUGUUUUCAUUA